This 447-nucleotide ribosomal RNA is filed under the name uncultured bacterium. RNAcentral's name for it is "bacterial SSU rRNA". It matches the Rfam family "Bacterial small subunit ribosomal RNA", at positions 330 to 793 of the family's 1533-position model. The record is from RNAcentral.
ACCAGACUCCUACGGGAGGCAGCAGUGGGGGAUAUUGCACAAUGGGGGGGAACCCUGAUGCAGCGACGCCGCGUGGGUGAAGAAGUACUUCGGUAUGUAAAGCCCUGUCAGCAGGGAAGAAAAUGACGGUACCUGACCAAGAAGCCCCGGCUAACUACGUGCCAGCAGCCGCGGUAAUACGUAGGGGGCAAGCGUUAUCCGGAUUUACUGGGUGUAAAGGGAGCGUAGACGGCAAGGCAAGUCUGGAGUGAAAGCCCGGGGCCCAACCCCGGGACUGCUUUGGAAACUGUGUAACUGGAGUACAGGAGGGGCAGGCGGAAUUCCUGGUGUAGCGGUGAAAUGCGUAGAUAUCAGGAGGAACACCGGCGGCGAAGGCGGCCUGCUGGACUGAAACUGACGUUGAGGCUCGAAAGCGUGGGGAGCAAACAGGAUUAGAUACCCUAGUAA